CACCCAGUUCUAGAAUCAAGCAUUUAAGGGUUUGUUUAUUCCCGAAUCGCCAACAAAUUCGUAUUUAAGUCUUCCAAAUCUCUAACCCUAUCAUGCAUUCCUCCAUUUUUUUCCCAAUUCCAAAAUCAAGCAUAUGUAAAGUUUACUGCUGCCAAAAGAAUUGUUGCAGAGGAGACCAAAGUCCAGAAACUCUUUUUCUUUUGUGCUUCCACAACUGAUUUCUCCAUUACCUCAACUUUCAGCUUCAAAUCUUAAGCUACUG
Molecule: long non-coding RNA, 262 nt
Organism: Gossypium raimondii (Peruvian cotton)
Lineage: Eukaryota; Viridiplantae; Streptophyta; Magnoliopsida; Malvales; Malvaceae
Exons: 3
Source: RefSeq, a predicted model, not a curated record